GAUGAACGCUGGCGGCGUGCCUAAUACAUGCAAGUCGAGCGAACAGAUAAGGAGCUUGCUCCUUUGACGUUAGCGGCGGACGGGUGAGUAACACGUGGGUAACCUACCUAUAAGACUGGGAUAACUUCGGGAAACCGGAGCUAAUACCGGAUAACAUUUGGAACCGCAUGGUUCUAAAGUGAAAGAUGGUUUUGCUAUCACUUAUAGAUGGACCCGCGCCGUAUUAGCUAGUUGGUAAGGUAACGGCUUACCAAGGCGACGAUACGUAGCCGACCUGAGAGGGUGAUCGGCCACACUGGAACUGAGACACGGUCCAGACUCCUACGGGAGGCAGCAGUAGGGAAUCUUCCGCAAUGGGCGAAAGCCUGACGGAGCAACGCCGCGUGAGUGAUGAAGGGUUUCGGCUCGUAAAACUCUGUUAUUAGGGAAGAACAAAUGUGUAAGUAACUGUGCACGUCUUGACGGUACCUAAUCAGAAAGCCUCGGCUAACUACGUG
RNAcentral lists this ribosomal RNA (497 nucleotides) under uncultured bacterium. RNAcentral's name for it is "partial 16S ribosomal RNA". It matches the Rfam family "Bacterial small subunit ribosomal RNA", at positions 28 to 507 of the family's 1533-position model. The record is from RNAcentral.